CGGACGGGUGAGUAACGCGUGAGUAACCUGCCUUACACAAGGGGAUAGCCGUUGGAAACGACGAAUAAUACCCUAUGACAUAAACUCUUCGCAUGAGGAGCUUAUCAAAGAUUUAUCGGUGUAAGAUGGACUCGCGUCUGAUUAGCUAGUUGGUGAGGUAACGGCCCACCAAGGCGACGAUCAGUAGCCGGCUUGAGAGAGUGUACGGCCACAUUGGGACUGAGACACGGCCCAGACUCCUACGGGAGGCAGCAGAC
Molecule: ribosomal RNA, 257 nt
Filed under: uncultured Anaerococcus sp.
Lineage: Bacteria; Bacillati; Bacillota; Tissierellia; Tissierellales; Peptoniphilaceae
Description: partial 16S ribosomal RNA
Rfam family: Bacterial small subunit ribosomal RNA
Source: RNAcentral